This 326-nucleotide unclassified non-coding RNA is filed under the name Hevea brasiliensis (rubber tree). Lineage: Eukaryota; Viridiplantae; Streptophyta; Magnoliopsida; Malpighiales; Euphorbiaceae. The record is from RNAcentral.
GGUGGUGACAAUCAAUCUUGUGACAGUGAUCAGGGAUUACCAAUUGUUUGGAGAGCAAUUGAAGAACAACCGAACAAUAUGGAAUAAUUUAGAACAAAUUUGGAACACCAAUUUCAAGAGUUUCAAGAGCAAUGACAUACCAUGUUGAAUAUUAGUGAAAAUAGGAAUCAAGUACCUAUUCAAGCCAGUGGAGCUAGCCCCGGCAAAGCUGAAAUUGAUCCUGUUCUCUUCAACCCUAGAAGAAGAGCUACGAUGGAGGAUGAUACAAGCGACGAUGAGGAGAUGAACUUCGGGUAUGUUGCACGCCAAGGAUAAGGAAGAGGUGG